CCACUCAUCAUCACUUAGAUGGCUAGACUUGGUCUUGAAGAUCUUUUUCAACCUGGAUGAUUCUGUGAUUCGAACAUAGCAAAAUCAUCCUAGAACAUUUCCUACUCAGCUUCAGAGAGUAUUGGAUAUCACUGCAUGCUUUCUGAAAUUACAUCCAGAUGACAUUACACAAUGCCGGUCCUUUGUACUGUUAAUUCUGGCUUUAAGUCCUGCUGAUGACACAUGCUGCUGUGAGUAGUUCUUCUGAAGUAAUUAUAUCAUACAAUGACAUUUUCCCUUUAGUUUGACUGACGUCAGGCAAACACUUUAUCUUUUUGGUUUUGUUAAUGUUCUAUUUUACACAUUCAGUUCUCCAUCCAUGCAUUCAGAUAAGGUUUCAUUUCUGUUACAUUUACAUUGUUAGACCAUACAGCGGAAUUUAUUCCACUGCAAGAUAUAUUCUUUGAACAGUAAUGAAAGAUUUCACAGCCAUUUUUGCUGUUAAGUUGCUAACACUGAUCUGUUCUUUCCAGGUGGCACCACCGGACUCCACACUGACUCAGCCUUGAUAUUCACAUCUCAUUUAUCUUCAAUUUUGAACAGCAUAAAAGGAGCCUGGGCGCUUUUUAAAUAAUACGAUCGACACUUCAUCAAGUCACCAGCAUAUAUGACCCGUCACUUUACAGUCAGAGCACAACCUCAUUGCCUGCACAAUGCUGCAAACACUGGUGCCAACAGAUCUGCCUCAGCUCCCUGUUCACCCUCCUCUUGAGAUUCCUCCACGGCCUGAUGAAGAAGAGAAAGAGAAGCAAGGAAAGUUUGCACCUGUCAGAGCUGCAGGGGCACUAACAGGCUUUGAUGGCCCUGACCAACCUCAGCUGGGCCUCUGCCCACACCCUGCCCAUGGACCCAGCCCAUUUAAGCUCAGCCUUGGGGUCUUCACAGUUUUUGCUGGUGUUGCAGAGGUGCUGCUCUCUAGCUCAGCUGCAGCCAUGCCUCUCCCUGACCAUGCACCCCGGUGA
This 1001-nucleotide long non-coding RNA is filed under the name Cairina moschata (Muscovy duck). RNAcentral describes it as "domestica (muscovy Duck (domestic type)) lncRNA (ENSCMMG00000010418.1)". The record is from RNAcentral. Lineage: Eukaryota; Metazoa; Chordata; Aves; Anseriformes; Anatidae.